GGUUAAGCGACUAAGCGUACACGGUGGAUGCCCUGGCAGUCAGAGGCGAUGAAGGGCGUGCUAAUCUGCGAUAAGCGCCGGUAAGGUGAUAUGAACCGUUAUAACCGGCGAUACCCGAAUGGGGAAACCCAGUGUGACUCGUCACACUAUCAUUAACUGAAUCCAUAGGUUAAUGAGGCGAACCGGGGGAACUGAAACAUCUAAGUACCCCGAGGAAAAGAAAUCAACCGAGAUUCCCCCAGUAGCGGCGAGCGAACGGGGAGGAGCCCAGAGCCUGAAUCAGCAUGUGUGUUAGUGGAAGCGUCUGGAAAGGCGCGCGAUACAGGGUGACAGCCCCGUACACAAAAGCGCAUGUGCUGUGAGCUCGAUGAGUAGGGCGGGACACGUGGUAUCCUGUCUGAAUAUGGGGGGACCAUCCUCCAAGGCUAAAUACUCCUGACUGACCGAUAGUGAACCAGUACCGUGAGGGAAAGGCGAAAAGAACCCCGGCGAGGGGAGUGAAAAAGAACCUGAAACCGU
Molecule: ribosomal RNA, 519 nt
Filed under: Salmonella enterica subsp. enterica serovar Infantis
Lineage: Bacteria; Pseudomonadati; Pseudomonadota; Gammaproteobacteria; Enterobacterales; Enterobacteriaceae
Also listed under: 50 other names
Description: partial 23S ribosomal RNA
Rfam family: Bacterial large subunit ribosomal RNA
Source: RNAcentral